RNAcentral lists this long non-coding RNA (370 nucleotides) under Brassica rapa (field mustard). Its description in RNAcentral is "long non-coding RNA (BRAP_LNC001299)". Lineage: Eukaryota; Viridiplantae; Streptophyta; Magnoliopsida; Brassicales; Brassicaceae. The record is from RNAcentral.
AAAGCCACACACGGCCAGUCCCGAAAUACAAACAAGGCCAUUCAAGGCCGAAAAAAAAAAAAAUCUCUCGCAAGAGAUCUAACCCAAGUCACCCUCAGAACUUACGCCCCCUCUUCAUCCGCUGCCUCGUCCGAGCCUGGAGCCGCGUCGCUUCCGUUCUCUCCGACCAUCGGGUCUUUCCCCUCUGGGUCUUCUGAACACGUCGGAAGGAAGCAAGCGGAUUUCAGGUCAGCCAGGAUGAGAUCGAAAUCUCCAUCCUCGGCCGCCAUAUCUCCCUUGCAGCCGGACAGUCGGGCCUCUUCGGCCUCCAAGGUCGGGGGAGUCUCACUUUGGAACGACCGAACCACGGCCAUCCCGCCCUCAAUCGUCG